This 86-nucleotide transfer RNA is filed under the name Photobacterium sp. Its description in RNAcentral is "tRNA-Leu". It matches the Rfam family "tRNA". Rfam says of the family: Transfer RNA (tRNA) molecules are approximately 80 nucleotides in length. Their secondary structure includes four short double-helical elements and three loops (D, anti-codon, and T loops). RNAcentral also lists the same sequence under 31 other names. Lineage: Bacteria; Pseudomonadati; Pseudomonadota; Gammaproteobacteria; Vibrionales; Vibrionaceae. The record is from RNAcentral.
GCCCGGGUGGCGAAAUUGGUAGACGCAGCGGAUUCAAAAUCCGCCGGUGAAUAACUGUGCCGGUUCAAGUCCGGCCCCGGGCACCA